GUUAAACAGGGAUUUGAUAACGUUUUUAAUUUAAGGACCAACCACAAUUGGUCUGGCCCAUCCACAAUUGGAAUCCUGGCGCCAUUCCUGAACCAUUACAAUAUUUCGCAUACUCAAGACCGGGCAUCAUGUAACCCAAUCCCAAAUGUGUUUAAUAGGAUUGUCUGUCGCUUCAAUCUUGGAGAACUAGCCUACUUCAAGCUAAAUUUCGGAGGAAAAAGCUACAAGACCACAGCUGUCCAUCGUACUGCAAGCUAAAGCUGCGGCUGUGGCUUGUAGGACAUGGACAUCCAACGACCAAGUGCUGUCACGUGAUUCCACUUGCCACCCCCACUGACGUCACUGGCUAAUCGCGCGGGAGAGCUUCAUUCUCUUCUCGACUACUUCACCAAGAUGACAACGAUGGCAAGUAACUAAAAUUAAUGACUGAAACAACCUAAUUGUGAUUGCAAAAACAUGC
RNAcentral lists this long non-coding RNA (460 nucleotides) under Gadus morhua (Atlantic cod). RNAcentral describes it as "lncRNA (ENSGMOG00000026123.1)". The record is from RNAcentral. Lineage: Eukaryota; Metazoa; Chordata; Actinopteri; Gadiformes; Gadidae.